RNAcentral lists this ribosomal RNA (256 nucleotides) under uncultured bacterium. RNAcentral's name for it is "partial 16S ribosomal RNA". It matches the Rfam family "Bacterial small subunit ribosomal RNA", at positions 524 to 778 of the family's 1533-position model. The record is from RNAcentral.
UACGGAGGGAGCUAGCGUUGUUCGGAAUUACUGGGCGUAAAGCGCACGUAGGCGGCUUUUUAAGUCAGGGGUGAAAUCCCGGGGCUCAACCCCGGAACUGCCCUUGAAACUGGAGAGCUAGAAUCUUGGAGAGGCGAGUGGAAUUCCGAGUGUAGAGGUGAAAUUCGUAGAUAUUCGGAAGAACACCAGUGGGCGAAGGCGACUCGCUGGACAAGUAUUGACGCUGAGGUGCGAAAGCGUGGGGAGCGAAACGGAU